RNAcentral lists this ribosomal RNA (102 nucleotides) under Podosphaera aphanis. RNAcentral describes it as "partial 28S ribosomal RNA". It matches the Rfam family "Eukaryotic large subunit ribosomal RNA", at positions 1 to 101 of the family's 3401-position model. RNAcentral also lists the same sequence under 1 other name. The record is from RNAcentral. Lineage: Eukaryota; Fungi; Ascomycota; Leotiomycetes; Helotiales; Erysiphaceae.
AUGACCUCGGAUCAGGUAGGGAUACCCGCUGAACUUAAGCAUAUCAAUAAGCGGAGGAAAAGAAACCAACAGGGAUUACCUCAGUAACGGCGAGUGAAGCGG